RNAcentral lists this small RNA (115 nucleotides) under uncultured Phyllobacterium sp. RNAcentral describes it as "Rhizobiales sRNA Atu_C8". It matches the Rfam family "Rhizobiales sRNA Atu_C8". Lineage: Bacteria; Pseudomonadati; Pseudomonadota; Alphaproteobacteria; Hyphomicrobiales; Phyllobacteriaceae. The record is from RNAcentral.
AAAAUUGCAAUGGUUCUCGUGGUGGUGCGAUCGCGCAUGGGCAGGAUGGUUUGACCAUCCGGCGUUAAGCACCCAUGCGCGGCAAACAGGCUCCUGACGGGGCCUUUUUUUACGC